RNAcentral lists this ribosomal RNA (253 nucleotides) under uncultured bacterium. Its description in RNAcentral is "partial 16S ribosomal RNA". It matches the Rfam family "Bacterial small subunit ribosomal RNA", at positions 524 to 776 of the family's 1533-position model. The record is from RNAcentral.
UACAGAGGUCUCAAGCGUUGUUCGGAUUCAUUGGGCGUAAAGGGUUCGUAGGUGGCUUGUUAAGUCAGACGUGAAAUCCCUCGGCUCAACCGGGGAACUGCGUCUGAGACUGAUGAGCUCGAGUGCAGGAGAGGAACGCGGAAUUCCAGGUGUAGCGGUGAAAUGCGUAGAUAUCUGGAGGAACACCGGUGGCGAAGGCGGCGUUCUGGACUGCAACUGACACUGAGGAACGAAAGCCAGGGGAGCAAACGGG